GUGUCAGCCGCCGCGGUAAUACGAAGGGGGCUAGCGUUGUUCGGAAUUACUGGGCGUAAAGCGCGCGUAGGCGGACUGGUCAGUCAGGGGUGAAAUCCCGGGGCUUAACCUCGGAACUGCCUUUGAUACUGCCAGUCUCGAGUCCGGAAGAGGUGAGUGGAAUUCCUAGUGUAGAGGUGAAAUUCGUAGAUAUUAGGAAGAACACCGGUGGCGAAGGCGGCUCACUGGUCCGGUACUGACGCUGAGGCGCGAAAGCGUGGGGAGCAAACAGGAUUAGAUACCCUGGUAGUCCACGCCGUAAACGAUGGAUGCUAGCCGUUGGACAGCAUGCUGUUCAGUGGCGCAGCUAACGCAUUAAGCAUCCCGCCUGGGGAGUACGGCCGCAAGGUUAAAACUCAAAGGAAUUGACGGGG
RNAcentral lists this ribosomal RNA (413 nucleotides) under uncultured prokaryote. Its description in RNAcentral is "bacterial SSU rRNA". It matches the Rfam family "Bacterial small subunit ribosomal RNA", at positions 505 to 918 of the family's 1533-position model. The record is from RNAcentral.